AGGACGAACGCUGGCGGCGUGCUUAACACAUGCAAGUCGAGCGGAAAGGCCCUUCGGGGUACUCGAGCGGCGAACGGGUGAGUAACACGUGAGCAACCUGCCCUUAGCUCCGGGAUAGCUCCGGGAAACCGGAAUUAAUACCGGAUAUGACCUAGGCCGACAUCGGCUGUGGUGGAAAGUUUUUCGGCUGGGGAUGGACUCGCGGCCUAUCAGCUUGUUGGUGGGGUAAUGGCCUACCAAGGCGACGACGGGUAGCCGGCCUGAGAGGGCGACCGGCCACACUGGGACUGAGACACGGCCCAGACUCCUACGGGAGGCAGCAGUGGGAAUCUUGCGCAAUGGGCGAAAGCCUGACGCAGCGACGCCGCGUGGGGAUGAAGGCCUUCGGGUUGUAAACCCUUCAGCAGGGACGAAGCGAAAGUGACGGUACCUGCAGAAGAAGCGCCGGCUAACUACGUGCCAGCAGCCGC
RNAcentral lists this ribosomal RNA (470 nucleotides) under uncultured bacterium. RNAcentral's name for it is "SSU rRNA". It matches the Rfam family "Bacterial small subunit ribosomal RNA", at positions 26 to 518 of the family's 1533-position model. The record is from RNAcentral.